AGAGUUUGAUCAUGGCUCAGGAUGAACGCUAGCUACAGGCUUAACACAUGCAAGUCGAGGGGCAGCAUUAUCGAAGCUUGCUUUGAUAGAUGGCGACCGGCGCACGGGUGAGUAACGCGUAUCCAACCUUCCCCAUAGUCAGGAAUAGCCCGGCGAAAGUCGAAUUAAUGCCUGAUGUUUUCCACGGACGGCAUCUGAUGUGGAACAAAGAUUGAUCGCUAUGGGAUGGGGAUGCGUCUGAUUAGCUUGUUGGCGGGGUAACGGCCCACCAAGGCAACGAUCAGUAGGGGUUCUGAGAGGAAGGUCCCCCACAUUGGAACUGAGACACGGUCCAAACUCCUACGGGAGGCAGCAGUGAGGAAUAUUGGUCAAUGGGCGGAAGCCUGAACCAGCCAAGUAGCGUGAGGGAUGACUGCCCUAUGGGUUGUAAACCUCUUUUAUAAGGGAAUAAAAUACGGGACGUGUCCUGUUUUGCAUGUACCUUAUGAAUAAGGACCGGCUAAUUCCGUGCCAGCAGCCGCGGUAAUACGGAAGGUCCGGGCGUUAUCCGGA
This 552-nucleotide ribosomal RNA is filed under the name uncultured Prevotella sp. Its description in RNAcentral is "bacterial SSU rRNA". It matches the Rfam family "Bacterial small subunit ribosomal RNA", at positions 8 to 549 of the family's 1533-position model. The record is from RNAcentral. Lineage: Bacteria; Pseudomonadati; Bacteroidota; Bacteroidia; Bacteroidales; Prevotellaceae.